UUAUCCGGAAUUAUUGGGCGUAAAGCGCGCGUAGGCGGUUUUUUAAGUCUGAUGUGAAAGCCCACGGCCCAACCGUGGGGGGUCAUUGGAAACUGGAAAACUUGAGUGCAGAAGAGGAAAGGGGAAUUCCAUGGGUAGCGGGGAAAUGCGCAGAGGUAUGGAGGAACACCAGGGGCGAAGGCGACUUUCUGGUCUGUAACUGACGCUGAUGUGCGAAAGCGAUGGGGUCAAACAGGAUUAGAUUCCCUGGUAGUCCACGCCGUAAACGAUGAGUGCUAAGUGUUAGGGGGUUUCCGCCCC
RNAcentral lists this ribosomal RNA (300 nucleotides) under Staphylococcus aureus. RNAcentral's name for it is "bacterial SSU rRNA". It matches the Rfam family "Bacterial small subunit ribosomal RNA", at positions 541 to 839 of the family's 1533-position model. The record is from RNAcentral. Lineage: Bacteria; Bacillati; Bacillota; Bacilli; Caryophanales; Staphylococcaceae.